RNAcentral lists this ribosomal RNA (217 nucleotides) under uncultured bacterium. RNAcentral describes it as "partial 16S ribosomal RNA". It matches the Rfam family "Bacterial small subunit ribosomal RNA", at positions 125 to 334 of the family's 1533-position model. The record is from RNAcentral.
CCGUAGCCCUGAUGACCGGGACAACCCGAGGAAACUCGGGCUAAUACCGGAUGUGCUCCCACCACAUCAGUGGUGUGAGUAAAGAUAGCUUCGGCCUUCGCAUCGGGAUGGGCCCGCGGCGCAUUAGCUUGUUGGUGGGGUAACGGCCUACCAAGGCAGCGAUGCGUAGCUGGUCUGAGAGGACGAUCAGCCACACUGGGACUGAGACACGGCCCAG